UGAGUAACCUGCCCUUAACUCUGGGAUAAGCCUGGGAAACUGGGUCUAAUACCGGAUAUGACUCCUCAUCGCAUGGUGGGGGGUGGAAAGCUUUAUUGUGGUUUUGGAUGGACUCGCGGCCUAUCAGCUUGUUGGUGAGGUAAUGGCUCACCAAGGCGACGACGGGUANCCGGCCUGAGAGGGUGACCGGCCACACUGGGACUGAGACACGGCCCAGACCUCCGUACGGGGAGCAG
RNAcentral lists this ribosomal RNA (236 nucleotides) under uncultured bacterium. RNAcentral's name for it is "partial 16S ribosomal RNA". It matches the Rfam family "Bacterial small subunit ribosomal RNA", at positions 118 to 351 of the family's 1533-position model. The record is from RNAcentral.